CGCGGGGUGGAGCAGCCUGGUAGCUCGUCGGGCUCAUAACCCGGAGGCCGCAGGUUCAAAUCCUGCCCCCGCAACCA
RNAcentral lists this transfer RNA (77 nucleotides) under Natranaerobius trueperi. RNAcentral describes it as "tRNA-Met". It matches the Rfam family "tRNA". From Rfam's summary of the family: Transfer RNA (tRNA) molecules are approximately 80 nucleotides in length. Lineage: Bacteria; Bacillati; Bacillota; Clostridia; Natranaerobiales; Natranaerobiaceae. The record is from RNAcentral.